Molecule: non-coding RNA, 1540 nt
Organism: Peromyscus maniculatus bairdii (prairie deer mouse)
Lineage: Eukaryota; Metazoa; Chordata; Mammalia; Rodentia; Cricetidae
Source: RefSeq, a predicted model, not a curated record
GGGGACCAGAAACAAAGGUGAGGCAGCCAGCAGAGACAAGGAUGUGUUUAACGGUGGCGUGGGGAGCCCAGCCUGGAAGGGGACAAAGAUGGACCAUCCGUGGGUCGGAAGAGAAGUGGAGACAGGACUGUGAGGGAAAGAGAGAGAGGCCACAUGGAACCUUAUCGAUAAAGAACAGGAGGGAACCCUGAGGGGACAGAAAAGAAAGGAGUGAUCAGGAUGAGUGGAAAUAAAUCAAAUACCACCAUGAGAAAGAAAAAAGCAAGAUAUACCACCAGGAAAAUGGAAAGGAAAAAUAAAAAGAGACUGGAGACAACGGCAGGAGAGUUACAUCUCGACAUCAGAAACCAAGGAGGUGGACAGAAAAAAAAAAAAAAACGGUCAACGAGAAAAAAACAAUUCGGAUGGAGGAGAAAAUAAAACACAACACAAAAAUCAAAGCCACCUGGAGAAAAAGAGCGUGUCCUGUUAGAGGGGAUUGAGUGGGCAAGGGGGGUCUCCAACCACCACCCCACACAGCCUCUGGGUCCCCGUGACCUUGGGGGAAAGUGCCAAGUGUAAGGAAUAUGGAUGGGCCUUAAGGGAAACCUCCACACGGGGACUUAAAAAGGUACCCUCUCCAAUCCUAAGCCUUCCAGCUGCCCAUUCCAGCCUCAUGUAGAGGUAGCAGGCUCCGAGAGAAAACCAGGGCUCUGGGGAACCAGGGAAGCGGGAAGAGGAAAUUGAGUCUAUGGAAACUCUGGAGCGAAAGAUGGUGGCGUGAUUCUUUCACAAUCUGGGAAUUGCGGAAUCGUGGGCCUUUGGACAGCAAGGUCCAAAAAGGACAGCCACGACCCCUGGGCAGGACGCCAAGCCCUCUGAAACCCAAACACCUCAUGCCUAAAGGACUGUACAGGUCCCCUGUCCCUGGCCAGGCCCUUGCUGAACUGAUCCAGAAACAGACUGAGGACAAUUUAGCCCAGUGGGCAAGCCCUGGCAACCCUGAUCCGAGGUGACCCUCCUGAGCCUGGGUCAGUGCAGCCUGAACCAGACCAGGACCCCAAGACCCCAGAGAAGCCGACACCACCAGGCCAGCCACAGAACUGAUCCCCCAGGACCCCCUGAGAUGACCAACUAGCCCUACCAAACCCCAGCUCCCCACCUGACCACAAGCCCUACCUUCCUGCUGUCUGGAGGGACAGCUCUGCUGUCAAGAAAACCAUCCCAGCUCCUGUGGCCUGAGAUGCGGGCCCUUGGGAUGGAAACUGGAGCCAUUAUGGAUUCAUGGAGGCUAAAGAGCCGUAAGCAUCUCUGGGGCAGAGCGAGAGCCAAGAUACCCAGUGCCCGGGAAGCAGUGGGGAGACUCCUGAGGAGCUCAUAGCCAAAUGGCUCCCGGUACCUCCCUGUCCAUCUCAGGGUCUCAUUUAUUUAUUAAUUUUUUCACCUCUAGGUCUAAGGCUAGCUUGAGGCAGGAGGCCACAGCAGCCGGAGCAGCACCAGGACCAAACCGUUCUCGGGAGGACACAGGGUUUAUUCAAAGCACUGGUCGGGGCUCAAGCAU